GACGAACGCUGGCGGCGUGCCUAAUACAUGCAAGUAGGACGCAGUUGCGAACGGGUGAGUAACACGUAGGUAACUACCUAUUAGAGGGGGAUACCUAUUGGAACCGAUAGCUAAUACCGCAUACUAGUAGAUGGACCUGCGUUGUAUUAGCUAGUAGGUAGGGUAAUGGCCUACCUAGGCAACGAUACAUAGCCGACCUGGGAGGGUAAUCGGCCACAUAGGGACUGAGACACGGCCCAAACUCCUGCGGGAGGCAGCAGUAGGGAAUCGUCCGCAAGGGGCGCAAGCCUGACGGAGCAACGCCGCGUGAGUGAAGAAGGUGUUCGGAUCGUAAAGCUCUGUUGUAAGAGAAGCGGUAUCUUACCAGAAAGCCACGGCUAACUACGUGCCAGCAGCCGCGGUAAUUC
RNAcentral lists this ribosomal RNA (407 nucleotides) under uncultured bacterium. RNAcentral's name for it is "partial 16S ribosomal RNA". It matches the Rfam family "Bacterial small subunit ribosomal RNA", at positions 28 to 526 of the family's 1533-position model. The record is from RNAcentral.